Molecule: ribosomal RNA, 256 nt
Filed under: uncultured bacterium
Lineage: Bacteria
Description: partial 16S ribosomal RNA
Rfam family: Bacterial small subunit ribosomal RNA
Source: RNAcentral
UACGUAGGUGGCGAGCGUUGUCCGGAUUUACUGGGCGUAAAGAGCUCGUAGGCGGUCUGUCGCGUCGGUCGUGAAAACUUGGGGGCUUAACCCUGAGCUUGCGGUCGAUACGGGCAUGACUGGAGUUCGGUAGGGGAGACUGGAAUUCCUGGGUGUAGCGGUGAAAUGCGCAGAUAUCAGGAGGAACACCGGUGGCGAAGGCGGGUCUCUGGGCCGAUACUGGCGCUGAGGAGCGAAAGCGUGGGGAGCGAACAGG